Molecule: ribosomal RNA, 251 nt
Filed under: uncultured prokaryote
Description: partial 16S rRNA
Rfam family: Bacterial small subunit ribosomal RNA
Source: RNAcentral
ACGAAGGGGGCAAGCGUUGUCCGGAUUCAUUGGGCGUAAAGCGCGCGUAGGCGGACUAUUAAGUCAGGUGUGAAAGCUCGGGGCUCAACCCCGAGACUGCCUUUGAUACUGGUUGGCUUGAGUUCGAGAGAGGUGAGUGGAAUUCCGAGUGUAGAGGUGAAAUGCGUAGAUAUUAGGAGGAACACCAGUGGCGAAGGCGGCUCACUGGCUCGAUACUGACGCUGAGGUGCGAAAGCGUGGGGAGCAAACAG